UUGCACGCUGGCGGCAGGCCUCACACAUGCAAGUCGCACGGUAACAGGAAGAAGCUUGCUUCUUUGCUGACGAGUGGCGGACGGGUGAGUAAUGUCUGGGAAACUGCCUGAUGGAGGGGGAUAACUACUGGAAACGGUAGCUAAUACCGCAUAACGUCGCAAGACCAAAGAGGGGGACCUUCGGGCCUCUUGCCAUCGGAUGUGCCCAGAUGGGAUUAGCUAGUAGGUGGGGUAACGGCUCACCUAGGCGACGAUCCCUAGCUGGUCUGAGAGGAUGACCAGCCACACUGGAACUGAGACACGGUCCAGACUCCUACGGGAGGCAGCAGUGGGGAAUAUUGCACAAUGGGCGCAAGCCUGAUGCAGCCAUGCCGCGUGUAUGAAGAAGGCCUUCGGGUUGUAAAGUACUUUCAGCGGGGAGGAAGGGAGUAAAGUUAAUACCUUUGCUCAUUGACGUUACCCGCAGAAGAAGCACCGGCUAACUCCGUG
RNAcentral lists this ribosomal RNA (489 nucleotides) under uncultured bacterium. RNAcentral describes it as "partial 16S ribosomal RNA". It matches the Rfam family "Bacterial small subunit ribosomal RNA", at positions 30 to 507 of the family's 1533-position model. The record is from RNAcentral.